CUACGGGAUGCACCAGUGAGGAAUAUUGCACAAUGGGGGGAACCCUGAUGCAGCAACGCCGCGUGGAGGAUGACGCAUUUCGGUGUGUAAACUCCUUUUAUAUGUCAAGAAAAUGACGGUAGCAUAUGAAUAAGCACCGGCUAACUCCGUGCCAGCAGCCGCGGUAAUACGGAGGGUACAAGCGUUACUCGGAAUCACUGGGCGUAAUGGACGCGUAGGCGGGUUGGAAAGUCAGGUGUGAAAUCCUACAGCUUAACUGUAGAACUGCACUUGAAACUUCUAAUCUAGAGUAUGGGAGGGGGAGAUGGAAUUAGUGGUGUAGGGGUAAAAUCCGUAGAUAUCACUAGGAAUACCUAAAGCGAAGGCGAUCUCCUGGAACAUUACUGACGCUAAGGCGUGAAAGCGUGGGGAGCAAACAGGAUUAGAUACCCCUGUAGUC
Molecule: ribosomal RNA, 439 nt
Filed under: uncultured bacterium
Lineage: Bacteria
Description: partial 16S ribosomal RNA
Rfam family: Bacterial small subunit ribosomal RNA
Source: RNAcentral